RNAcentral lists this ribosomal RNA (243 nucleotides) under uncultured Actinomycetales bacterium. Its description in RNAcentral is "partial 16S ribosomal RNA". It matches the Rfam family "Bacterial small subunit ribosomal RNA", at positions 88 to 334 of the family's 1533-position model. Lineage: Bacteria; Bacillati; Actinomycetota; Actinomycetes; Actinomycetales. The record is from RNAcentral.
UACUCGAGUGGCGAACGGGUGAGUAACACGUGGGUGAUCUGCCCUGCACUUCGGGAUAAGCCUGGGAAACUGGGUCUAAUACCGGAUAGGAGCCAUUUUUAGUGUGAUGGUUGGAAAGUUUUUUCGGUGUAGGAUGAGCUCGCGGCCUAUCAGCUUGUUGGUAGGGUAAUGGCCUACCAAGGCGGCGACGGGUAGCCGGCCUGAGAGGGUGGACGGCCACAUUGGGACUGAGAUACGGCCCAG